GUUCAUCAGCACCAUCUAUCACCACAGCCAAAAAGGUCUCAGUGCCUAUUCCUGCUCCCUGAGCCCUGACCCAGCCCUGGCUUUCCAGCCAGCUGCAACCCUUUCGUCCACCCCACCGUCUCGUGCUUUGCCUCUCCAGAUCCUCCAGCCAAGAUCCAUCUUCAGAUCAGGCAUCCAAGUCAGAUGGAGGAGGCCAGGCCUUGGCUGUGUAAUCCAGGAGCUCCAAUCUCAGCUGUUUGCUCCCCUCUUGGGAAAGAUAUAUUUGUGUCUAUGAAGACCCCAAGUGCUACCCACGAGGGCAGAACAGAUCCAAGGAAGGGGCAUGUUCCACAGGAGGUAUCAGCCUUAUGAACUACAGUAUCAUCACAUUUAUAAACAGAAACCAGGAAAUCAUGUCCAGGGACCAGCGUACUCAUGUGCAUGUGUUCCAGAAAUUCAAGUGUGAGGGGGGACCAUCUUUCCAAGGAUGGACUCCAUUCAAGUCCUUCAUUCUUACCCCCAACAAAUCCACUGAGAAUAAUUCCAUCUGGAGAGAGAGAGAGAGCUAAGCACAGGAGUCCCUUUCUUCUUUCCAACCAACCAGGACCUCGAGGGAUGCCUGUUCUCUGCCAUCCCCCACCUGAGUUUGGGGACCUCAGACAGGGGCCUGAGCUGGUAUGAGCUUUGGCAUAAGUCACAGAGAUUUAAUACCAUAUAUCCAGCGUCUGGUCUUUCAGAAUGACAUUUUCAUUAGAGUGGAAAUAUGCCACCUAAACAAACAAAAAAGUAUUUCUCAGCUUCCCCUGAAGAUGGCAGUGACCAGUGAAAUAUAAGGGGAAGUCACUGGGUGGGGAUUUUGGAAAGGAUUUGUAAAGGGAGGUUUCUCAGCUGAUAGAUACCCUUUUGCCUUCCCCAAUUUCUCCUACUUUCUAUCUAGAACGUCAACAUGAUGGCUGGAAUUCUAGUGGCCAUCUUAAGUCAUGGGGUGACCUUGAGAAACAGAAAGACACAUGGCGGCUGGGACAUGGAUGGUACCAAGGAGCCCUCUUGACAGGCCUGGAUUGCCAACCCAGACUUCUUUUACAUGAGAGAAGAGCAAACUUGAAUUAUAUUGGCCAGUAGCCUACUCAAUAUUUGGCCUUUCUGUCCUGCAACUGAACCUAAUACUAACAGAUACAGCAGGUCUCCAAAAACAGAAAGUACUGAGGCCCCUGGUGCUCAGAGAUCCCUGGAAAGAGUGACUGAGCUGAGAUAACCCACAGCCCCACCUUGAAUCCAAGACCCUCCAUUGGAAGCCAGGGCCUGCCUGUCAUUGUCUUCCAGGAAAGCUGUCUCAGUCACUUCCCCGGGCCUCAGUCUUUCUCAACACAAAUAUCACCAUCUCCAUAACACCCCUCUCCCAAAAUAAUGCUUGUAGCUCCCCACCUCCCUCCCUCGUGAAAUCUGAAGCCUGAUGAAGCCUCCCUAGACAGUUUGUGCAAAGAAUGGCACAAGCAUGAAUGAUGAUUUCAUCAAGAGUCUGCAGGGCACAAGGCUGUGCCAGUCCUUUUCUGGAAGGUCAGGGAUAGGAAGACAGGUUAAGGAAAUGCCAGAGGCUCUGAGUCUGACUGAGCCAGGGAAGGAGAACCAGGAUCAGUCCAUAAACAAGCAGGAAGUAGCCCCUUUUGUUUUGGCUUAGGCCUGCACCAGGGAAGCUGAGUCACUUAGGGGUAGGGAAUGGAGGCAGGGAGAGGGCAGAGCCCCCAGACUCGUGGUUAGGACCCCUAAGUGCAAAAUCCCAGUUCUGGCUCCAACUUGCCCAGAAAAUGAGGGUUUUUGGCUAGGUGAGCUAUGA
RNAcentral lists this long non-coding RNA (1813 nucleotides) under Homo sapiens (human). RNAcentral describes it as "HSALNT0334210". Lineage: Eukaryota; Metazoa; Chordata; Mammalia; Primates; Hominidae. The record is from RNAcentral.